This 253-nucleotide ribosomal RNA is filed under the name uncultured bacterium. RNAcentral describes it as "partial 16S ribosomal RNA". It matches the Rfam family "Bacterial small subunit ribosomal RNA", at positions 524 to 776 of the family's 1533-position model. The record is from RNAcentral.
UACGUAGGGGGCUAGCGUUGUCCGGAUUUAUUGGGCGUAAAGAGCGUGUAGGCGGCCAAGUAGGUCCGGUGUGAAAACUCGAGGCUCAACCUCGAGACGCCGAUGGAAACCAUCUGACUAGAGUCCGGAAGAGGAGAGUGGAAUUCCUGGUGUAGCGGUGAAAUGCGCAGAUAUCAGGAAGAACACCCGUGGCUAAGGCGGCUCUCUAGUACGUGACUGACGCUGAGACGCGAAAGCGUGGGGAGCGAACAGG